AUACGUAGGGGGCGAGCGUUGUCCGGAAUGAUUGGGCGUAAAGCGCGCGUAGGCGGCGCGGUAAGUCUGGAGUGAAAGCCCUGCUUUCAAGGUGGGAAUUGCUUUGGAUACUGCCGCGCUUGAGUGCAGGAGAGGUUAUCGGAAUUCCCGGUGUAGCGGUGAAAUGCGUAGAGAUCGGGAGGAACACCAGUGGCGAAGGCGGGUAACUGGACUGCAACUGACGCUGAGGCGCGAAAGUGUGGGGAGCAAACAGGAUUAGAUACCCUGGUAGUCCACACUGUAAACGAUGAAUGCUAGGUGUAAGAGGUAUCGACCCCUUUUGUGCCGGAGUCAACACAAUAAGCAUUCCGCCUGGGGAGUACGGCCGCAAGGUUGAAACUCAAAGGAAUUGACGGGG
Molecule: ribosomal RNA, 397 nt
Filed under: uncultured bacterium
Lineage: Bacteria
Description: partial 16S ribosomal RNA
Rfam family: Bacterial small subunit ribosomal RNA
Source: RNAcentral